RNAcentral lists this ribosomal RNA (335 nucleotides) under Myoprocta acouchy. RNAcentral describes it as "partial 12S ribosomal RNA". It matches the Rfam family "Bacterial small subunit ribosomal RNA", at positions 537 to 989 of the family's 1533-position model. Lineage: Eukaryota; Metazoa; Chordata; Mammalia; Rodentia; Dasyproctidae. The record is from RNAcentral.
AACCCAGACUAAUAAAACUCGGCGUAAAGGGUGUUUUAGAAAAACCAUAAAUAAGACUAAAAUUUAUCUAAGUCGUAAAAAACACCAGAUAAAGCACGCACUAAGACGAAAGUGGUCUUAUUACAUCUGAACACACGAAAGCUAGGACUCAAACUGGGAUUAGAUACCCCACUAUGCCUAGCCAUAAACAUAAAAAUUUUACAACAAAAAUUCUCGCCUGAGAACUACUAGCCAUAGCCUAAAACUCAAAGGACUUGGCGGUGCUUUAUACCCACCUAGAGGAGCCUGUUCUGUAAUCGAUAAACCCCGAUAUACCUCACCACUCCUUGCUAAUU